UGAGACGGCCAGAGUGGUGAGGUAACACCCGUACCCAUCCCGAACACGGAAGUUAAGCUCACCUACGUGUGAGCGAGUACUGGCGUGGGCGACCCGCUGGGAAAGUUGACUCGCCGUCUCUU
Non-coding RNA from Halolamina pelagica, 122 nucleotides. NCBI's taxonomy places the organism in Archaea, Methanobacteriati, Methanobacteriota, Halobacteria, Halobacteriales, Haloferacaceae. The record is from Rfam.